UGCYGCCUGCCCGGGUACCGGCGGCGCCCGGCCGAGCUGAGAGCAGCGACGGGCUCUUUCUCUUCCUCCUCUUCGACUUUGCAGCUCGUCUGAGCAGACGAGGGGGCAUUAGCCGAGGAGAAGUGGUGUGGCCUGGCAUGAGGCUGGCUUUUUUGGCUGCUUUAUGCCCUUUCUUGUUUGUUUUCUAACCUGGGGAACAUACAGACUCGGAGUAACUGAAACAGGCACGUUUCCAAAACACAUUAACAAGAGCAAAAAAAAAAAAGAAAAGAAAAAGGCACUGCACAGGGGGACCUUUGAGGUAGUAGAAAUUUUUUCCUUCAAUGUCUGGCACCAGAGAGAGCGAGAGAGAGCGCGCGCGCAAGAGCACACGUGCGUGUGCAUGUGUUUCUCUGCAUGUUCAGGGCCGCACGUGUCCCCCACACGCGGGGAGGGAGGUCUCGGGGUGCAAGCCUGGCCCCGGGAGCCGACACACCGGUGCCCGCGCAGGCGCGUGGCUUUGCACACGCGCGUGGCUUUGCCUGCAGUCCCUGGCCCGCCGUGGGGCCGUGGGGCUGGAGAAGCCCCCCGUGCGUGGGCGCUGCCGCAGGCCUGCCAGGGAUGGGGGUUUUCCCGCGGCAGCAGCUGGCCGGGGGCUCACCGGGACAUCUCGCGUGGGGCUUUCGGGAGGGGAAAAGGGGCAGCAUCUCCCAGUCCCGUUCCCUGGCUUGGUCCUUGGCCACAUCCAGAAGAAACAAACAUUGCAACCACCCGGAAAGGAGCAGACGGGGUGCGAAAUACCUGGGCCCUGCUCCGCAAGCCGGAGAGGCACCAGCGCUCCCGGGGCCGCCCUGGCAGAGCAGUGCCUGGGGCUGCCCGGGCAUCUCUGCUCACUGCCUCGAUCACGGGCAAGGCCAGCCCAUCUCGUCCCUUCCCCUUCCCUGCGAGGAAAGGAACAAAUCCCCGAGGCAUUCCGGUCGGGCACAUUCCUCUGCAUGCCGGCUCCCGCACGGCUGGGCACCGCCG
This 1005-nucleotide long non-coding RNA is filed under the name Apteryx owenii (little spotted kiwi). RNAcentral describes it as "lncRNA (ENSAOWG00000017993.1)". The record is from RNAcentral. Lineage: Eukaryota; Metazoa; Chordata; Aves; Apterygiformes; Apterygidae.